AUAACUUACGGGAAACCGGAGCUAAUACCGGAUAAUAUAUUGAACCGCAUGGUUCAAUAGUUAAAGACGGUUUUGCUGUCACUUAUAGAUGGAUCCGCGCCGCAUUAGCUAGUUGGUAAGGUAACGGCUUACCAAGGCAACGAUGCGUAGCCGACCUGAGAGGGUGAUCGGCCACACUGGAACUGAGACACGGUCCGAGACUCCUACGGGAGGGCAGCAGCC
Molecule: ribosomal RNA, 222 nt
Filed under: uncultured Staphylococcus sp.
Lineage: Bacteria; Bacillati; Bacillota; Bacilli; Caryophanales; Staphylococcaceae
Description: partial 16S ribosomal RNA
Rfam family: Bacterial small subunit ribosomal RNA
Source: RNAcentral